Lolium perenne is the source of this 1205-nucleotide non-coding RNA. The record is from RefSeq and is a predicted model, not a curated record. NCBI's taxonomy places the organism in Eukaryota, Viridiplantae, Streptophyta, Magnoliopsida, Poales, Poaceae.
CAUCUUUCUACUGUGUCGAAGACGGUGUUGGCUGCAAGGACGCCGAUGAGGCCGCCUCCUCGGUCUGUUUGGUGCAAAUAUCUUGGUCGCAGGCCGUUCGUCCACUGUUGAGCGUCUGGUAUGUGCUUGCUGACUCUUUGAUGAAAUUGUUGUAUAAUUUUUCAUCCAGAUCGGUUCAUGGAAAGGUGAGCAUUUUUUCUGUAUUGCUCAUGAAAAAGGUUGGUAUUGUUUUCGUAUCCAACAAAUAAAUACUACAAAUUACAUAUUGAGUCGAUGCAAGCUGAUCGUGAAUCAUUAUAUGCUGGUCCGUACGUGCUAGAGACGAGACAAAUUCUAGCUGAUAUUUGCUAGACGAUAGCUUGCUGCUGCUGCUAGAUAUACAUAAAUUUUGACUGAAUUUUUUAGAGGAUUGCUUAUACUGAAUUUUGGUACACCAUUGCUUGUCCUUAAGUUUGUUAGACGAUUCCUUGACCCGCUCUUUUGUAAACAGGAAUGACAUCCUAACUAAUCAUGUUUAAUGGAGAAGAAAAGAAGAAAAGAGAAAUGAAAUGCUGCGAUUUGGCUAUGACAUAGCUUCUACAGUGAAAUCAACUGAUUUCCUACUGAUAAGAAGAAGAGAAUCCUCGAGAAGAAAGAAGGCCCACUGAAAUGGCAGCAAAAACAUUAUGAAUAUGCGACCAACAUCUCAUGGAGCCGCUCAUGCAUUAUCAAACACCACCACGGGUAUCAUUUUACGUGAUAUGCAAAAAGAAAAGUUAAAGAAGGAUGGUGGCACAAAACGGGAAGCAGGUGGUACAUUCACUAGAUGGGGACUGGUCAUAAGCUAAUUAUGGCUUCUUGAUGCUCAUUUAAUUGAUUGCUGCGUACGGAAGUUACAUGUUAAUAUACUCAUGUAUAUACUUUGUUAACGCUACAAAGUUAACAGAUAACUUGGGGCUUGUAUAUGUGUCAAAUGAGACUAUCUUAUUUGGCACAAUAAGAUACUGUCUUCCGUAAAUGUGUUGCUGGACAUAGCAUGAAGAAUGAAUUCAAUUUUUUUCUUCUAAUUUGCAAGAUUAAAAGCAAGAGUAUGGAUAUUUGAAAAUGUGAGAGAUAUCCAAGCCAGAGGCUAAAAGGUGUUGUGAGCCCGCAACAGCAAAAAGGAGCAUGGAUCGAUCCGUGGCACCCCGGACAAAGUGGUAAACAACCCUCCUCCACUCCAUUAU